RNAcentral lists this ribosomal RNA (254 nucleotides) under uncultured bacterium. RNAcentral's name for it is "partial 16S ribosomal RNA". It matches the Rfam family "Bacterial small subunit ribosomal RNA", at positions 524 to 776 of the family's 1533-position model. The record is from RNAcentral.
UACAGAGGUGGCGAGCGUUAUUCGGAAUUAUUGGGCGUAAAGAGCUCGUAGGCGGUGUGUCGCGUCGGCCGUGAAAACCUGCAGCUUAACUGUGGGCUUGCGGUCGAUACGGGCAUCACUGGAGUUCGGCAGGGGAGACUGGAAUUCCUGGUGUAGCGGUGAAAUGCGCAGAUAUCUGGAGGAACACCAGUGGCGAAGGCGGCUUCCUGGCCUGCAACUGACGCUGAGACGCGAAAGCGUGGGGAGCGAACCGG